AGUGGUGUAGCUCAGUGAUAGAGCACAUAUUUAGCAUUCUUGAGGCCCUGGAUUCAAUCCCCAGCACCAGGA
This 72-nucleotide transfer RNA is filed under the name Marmota monax (woodchuck). It matches the Rfam family "tRNA". Rfam says of the family: Transfer RNA (tRNA) molecules are approximately 80 nucleotides in length. Their secondary structure includes four short double-helical elements and three loops (D, anti-codon, and T loops). Lineage: Eukaryota; Metazoa; Chordata; Mammalia; Rodentia; Sciuridae. The record is from Rfam by way of RNAcentral.